Molecule: ribosomal RNA, 505 nt
Filed under: uncultured bacterium
Lineage: Bacteria
Description: partial 16S ribosomal RNA
Rfam family: Bacterial small subunit ribosomal RNA
Source: RNAcentral
GACGAACGCUGGCGGCGUGCCUAAUACAUGCAAGUAGAACGCACAGUUUAUACCGUAGCUUGCUACACCAUAAACUGUGAGUUGCGAACGGGUGAGUAACGCGUAGGUAACCUGCCUGGUAGCGGGGGAUAACUAUUGGAAACGAUAGCUAAUACCGCAUAAUAUUGAUUAUUGCAUGAUAAUUGAUUGAAAGAUGCUAUUGCAUCACUACCAGAUGGACCUGCGUUGUAUUAGCUAGUAGGUGAGGUAACGGCUCACCUAGGCGACGAUACAUAGCCGACCGGAGAGGGUGGUCGGCCACACUGGGACUGAGACACGGCCCAGACUCCUACGGGAGGCAGCAGGAGGGAAUCUUCGGCAAUGGACGAAAGUCUGACCGAGCAACGCCGCGUGAGUGAAGAAGGGUUUCGGAUCGUAAAGCUCUGUUGUAAGAGAAGAACGGGUGUGAGAGUGGAAAGUUCACACUGUGACGGUAUCUUACCAGAAAGGGACGGCUAACUACGUG